AUGCUGGGCUAAGACAAGGGGCAGGGGCAGAGGCAGAGAGAGAGAGGAGCCACCCUGAGAAGGAAGAGACCAGCUGGGCUCUAAGAUAGGGAGACUCUUUCUACAUUGGUGCCUUGACAUGUGACUCUUUUGUCACUUCGUGCUCCAGAAUCACCCCCUGAUGAACUGCUAUCACUUUCAAAUGACCUUGUCUUUUCUCAGGCCCUCCGAACUGAUCAUCUCUUCCUUCUAAUACAAGAGGAUCUUCCCUGGAAGACCACUGCACACCUUCUAGUAACACUGGGACCCUGGGUUCCUAUGAAAAGUUUUCUGUCACCUGAUCCCAAAUGCUGAAUGAGAAACACCAGCUCUUGGACUCAAACCACUCAGAUCAGGAAAGAAUCACCUUCAGUCUUCAGGAAGAAGUGAAUAAGGCCCAUGGGGCACAUUGAGUAACUGCUUCCUGAUCAUGUGCAGAAGACCUGUGCAGCCGAAGGGGUGGAUGCUGGCAGCCUUAGAUUCCAGUGCUCACAUCUCCCUUCACAAAAACCUGCUUCAAGGACCAUAGAUCUCCAUCCUCCCACCCAAGGUCUGCCUUUGAGCUGCACUCAUUCCUGUUUAGCUUUUAUUGUCAAGAACGUAGAAUUAAAAUAGGAAGAACACCUUUUCUUCAGCUCGAGAUUUCCUGAAGGAGGAUCUGCAUUUCACGUGGAUGGUCAGGAUACUAAGUUGCAUCUUUAGAAAAAUCUCAGCACAUCUCUGGGCAAUGAAAUCAUUCUUUUGGGACCUGACACAUGAACUGAAGUGUAAUUGGCAUUCUUUAUGGAAGGGGCAUGGAUUUAAAUUGUCAUGAGUUCAAAUACCAACCCCACCUAUCACUUACUAUACAGAAGAUUGGACCUGGCUGCUUCAAAGGGUCACCUGUUGUGCGGGGAAGGAAGGAUUAACAUAGAAACAGAGCUCUGAAGACUCGAUUCCCUGUCUGUCAAUGGCUCAAGCAUACAAUGAUCAGAUAAUAUUCUACUUUGAAGAACACCAAUAGACAGAAGCAAGAUGACUAAUUUUUAAUGCUAAAGUAUGCAAAACCUGCCACUUCACUGGCAAGCCAUGAAUUAUUCAUAAAUAUAGACUUGGUUAAUAUCUUUAAAAAUGCAGUAUAUUUUGCCUUGUGAUUUCUAGCUUGCAUAACAGUUUUGGAAUCAUGACAUAUGAACCAAAUUACAACAAGCCCCCAUAUUUAUUUUCUGUAGAUUAGGGAAAUACGUUUACUGACUCAGUAAGAGAUCAUCAGUAGGUACCCGAAAUAAGGAAAUUAAACUCAUCUUUUGCACAGCAGUUUUGGCAGUAUUUGUGCUAGGAACACUGAAAUAAAGAAUGUAUCAUUUUAGGGAAAUGUUUAUUAUAUGUUUUAACAGCUGAAGAAUAUUAUUCAGUGGUUUCUCACUAGCUUUGCCUAAAAAUUUUGAUUAAAUUGUGGGCCUCUCCACUGAGCAGGAGACACUAAUAUCAAAUGUGUGUGCAUAAACUAGAAUGACAAAUCCUUUAGUCUCAGAACCAUUGAGCUGGAAGGGGUAUCCCACCACCAUCUCUCCCUAUAGCUAGUUUAGACUUAAGUUUUCAAAAUGCAUUUUUUUUUUAAUUCACUGACCUACCCCAAUCUCUUGCUUCUCAAAUAAUGCUGUUCUUUAUAAGGGUUUUUUCAGAUUGAAUUUGACUUCCUCAGCUCCAGGCCACACAGAGUACUGUGUAUACUUAAUCAUAAAUUAAUACUUUUACAAGCUCUAAAGAGAUUACUAUGGAUUCCAUCUCAAAUGCCUCACAGUUACAUUAUUUUCACAUACUUAUAAUUACCCGGAAAGGUUUUUAGAUGGGAUGCACUUUUUAUGGGCCAUAAAUACUUGGUGUAAUCUACAUUUUGUUUGUCACAUUUUGUUUAUUUCUGUUGUGGAUGCAAAAUACCAGAGCAAUUUAAGAUCUUACUGAAUGAGAAACUUGAACAGAAAUAAUGAUCUGCCAUUUUUAUUCUAACUAAAUAAAAGUAUCAUUUAAAACAUGC
This is a long non-coding RNA of Pongo pygmaeus (Bornean orangutan), 2035 nucleotides long. RefSeq lists it as uncharacterized. The record is from RefSeq and is a predicted model, not a curated record. The transcript is spliced from 7 exons. NCBI's taxonomy places the organism in Eukaryota, Metazoa, Chordata, Mammalia, Primates, Hominidae.